AGGACGAACGCUGGCGGCGUGCCUAACACAUGCAAGUUGAGCGACGAACCAGGGCUUGCCCUGGGGCAAAGCAGCGAACGGGUGAGUAACACGUGGGUAACCUGCCCCGAUUACCGGGACAACCCGAGGAAACUCGGGCUAAUACCGGAUGUGCUCGUCAGACCCAAGUCUGACGCGUAAAGGAAGCUUCGGCCUCCGAAGUCGGGAGGGGCCCGCGGCCCAUUAGCUUGUGGUGAGGUAACGGCUCACCAAGGCGACGAUGGGUAGCUGGUCUGAGAGGACGAUCAGCCACACUGGGACUGAGACACGGCCCAGACUCCUACGGGAGGCAGCAGUGGGGAAUCUUGCGCAAUGCGACGAAAGCGUGACGCAGUAACGCCGCGUGGGAAGAAGGCCUUCGGGUGUAAACCCUUCGUACGUUGGACGAAGCUUCGAGCGGUGAAGUACGCCGUAGUGGAGUGACGGUACCUUCGAC
This 475-nucleotide ribosomal RNA is filed under the name uncultured soil bacterium. RNAcentral describes it as "bacterial SSU rRNA". It matches the Rfam family "Bacterial small subunit ribosomal RNA", at positions 26 to 507 of the family's 1533-position model. The record is from RNAcentral.